This 85-nucleotide transfer RNA is filed under the name Felis catus (domestic cat). It matches the Rfam family "tRNA". From Rfam's summary of the family: Transfer RNA (tRNA) molecules are approximately 80 nucleotides in length. Their secondary structure includes four short double-helical elements and three loops (D, anti-codon, and T loops). Lineage: Eukaryota; Metazoa; Chordata; Mammalia; Carnivora; Felidae. The record is from Rfam by way of RNAcentral.
GCCUGGGUGGCUCAGUCGGUUGAGCUUCUGACUUCAGUUCAGGUCAUGAUCUCAUGGUCCGUGAGUUCGAGCCCCACAUCAGGCU